UGGGGGGGCCUAAUACAUGCAGUCGAGCGAGCGGAACCAGCAGAAUCACUUCGGUGAGGACACUGGGAAAGCGAGCGGCGGAUGGGUGAGUAACACGUGGGGAACCUGCCCUUAAGUCUGGGAUACCACUUGGAAACAGGUGCUAAUACCGGAUAAGAAAGCAGUUCGCAUGAACAGCUUUUAAAAGGCGGCGCAAGCUGUCGCUAAAGGAUGGACCCGUGGUGCAUUAGCUAGUUGGUAAGGUAACGGCCUACCAAGGCAGUGAUGCAUAGCCGAGUUGAGAGACUGAUCGGCCACAUUGGGACUGAGACACGGCCCAAACUCCUACGGGAGGCAGCAGUAGGGAAUCUUCCACAAUGGACGCAAGUCUGAUGGAGCAACGCCGCGUGAGUGAAGAAGGUUUUCGGACCGUAAAGCUCUGUUGUCGGUGAAGAAGGAUAGAGGUAGUAACUGGCCUUUAUUUGACGGUAAUCAACCAGAAAGUCACGGCUAACUACGUGCCAGCAGCCGCGGUAAUACGUAGGUGGCAAGCGUUGUCCGGAUUUAUUGGGCGUAAAGCGAGCGCAGGCGGAAGAAUAAGUCUGAUGUGAAAGCCCUCGGCUUAACCGAGGAAUUGCAUCGGAAACUGUUUUUCUUGAGUGCAGAAGAGGAGAGUAGAACUCCAUGUGUAGCGGUGGAAUGCGUAGAUAUAUGGAAGAAUACCAGUGGCGAAGGCGGCUCUCUGGUCUGCAACUGACGCUGAGGCUCGAAAGCAUGGGUAGCGAACAGGAUUAGAUACCCUGGUAGUCCAUGCCGUAAACGAUGAGUGCUAAGUGUUGGGAGGCUUCCACCUCUCAGUGCUGCAGCUAACGCAUUAAGCACUCCGCCUGGGGAGUACGACCGCAAGGUUGAAACUCAAAGGAAUUUGACGGGGGCCCGCACAAGCGGUGAGCAUGUGUUUAAAUUCGAAGCAACGCGAAGAACCUUACCAGGUCUGACAUCUA
This 983-nucleotide ribosomal RNA is filed under the name uncultured bacterium. RNAcentral's name for it is "bacterial SSU rRNA". It matches the Rfam family "Bacterial small subunit ribosomal RNA", at positions 39 to 990 of the family's 1533-position model. The record is from RNAcentral.